AUGGCGGCAUCAUCUGGAGGCAGCAGAGCGAAUCCACGGACAGGCUGGUGGUGGCGGCGCUGCAAUGGCUUAGCCAAGAUGGAGUCUUGGCAAGCAACAAGUGGCCGGCCUCCUCUGUGCGGUGUGGUGAGUGACUGGGCUCUCUCGAUGGCGCGGCUUGGUUCUUUGCGGAGGAGCGGGUCCGGCCGUUGCAAGCCGGCCUUUGGAGUGGGCGUCGGCAGUUGCGGACGAUCCUGGGCCAUGCCGGAGGUGCGGGGUGGCUGUAGUCUCUUGUUCAGGCUGGGAGUUGGUGCGGUGGCCGGGUUCCUCUUGGUUGUGCAACCGGUCGUCGGUCCUCAGCUUUGCCCAUUUCCAGGAGGUGUGGUGAUGUGCGUUUGCGCAGAUGAAAAUCUUGCUUGGCUUAUGUCAGGCCGGCGGUGA
This 420-nucleotide ribosomal RNA is filed under the name Triticum aestivum (bread wheat). RNAcentral describes it as "partial small subunit ribosomal RNA". The record is from RNAcentral. Lineage: Eukaryota; Viridiplantae; Streptophyta; Magnoliopsida; Poales; Poaceae.